Long non-coding RNA from Myripristis murdjan (pinecone soldierfish), 707 nucleotides. RefSeq lists it as uncharacterized. The transcript has 3 exons. NCBI's taxonomy places the organism in Eukaryota, Metazoa, Chordata, Actinopteri, Holocentriformes, Holocentridae. The record is from RefSeq and is a predicted model, not a curated record.
GGAUAAGACGUAGUGAGAAACCUGAUGUGUGAGCAUUAUGAAAAGCCUGGAUUUACAUUUGGAUAAACAAAAAGCAUUUGGAUAAACAAAAAGCACGUGCUUCCACAGCCAAGGCGUCACGAAUCUUCCCGAAGGAGCCACUGCGACGCAGAGACCCGUUACCGUCCUGGGGAGAGACCAAAUGGAAAACCAGAGUCGUCGCCCUCGCAGUCCCCCCGUUGCCCCCCUGACCCGGCGACACCUUCCCUGCUCAGCCGUCUGUCGCCCCCUCCAGCUCCCCCGUCCUUCAGGAGCUCCACCACUUUACUCUGGUUAAUGGCAUCAAUACCCUGAGGGAGGAGCAGGAGGAAGAGGAGGGAGACACAGACACAAAGAGACAGAGAAAAACAAAGACAGUGGGAAAGUGAUUAAGACAGACAGAGGAAGAAAACAAAGAGGGUGAACGGGGAACGGGGAAGAGGGUGGGAAAGUUUGAAAAAUGAUGGGCUUUUGUACAAUGGCUACCAGCAUGUGCACUGCUUGUAAAGUUUUCUGUAACAGAGAGCACAAACAUUUGUGAUGGAUUCAUGAGUCAGUCUGGCAUGCUUUAUUUAUAGGCUAAUAAAAAACGGUUGGCAUGCCUGUUAACCAAAAGGGCCCAGACUACUAAUCUAACAGCAGUAAUUUAACUGGAGAGCUCUGCUGGAGAGUGUGUGUAGUACCUGUUU